RNAcentral lists this ribosomal RNA (327 nucleotides) under uncultured eukaryote. Its description in RNAcentral is "partial 18S ribosomal RNA". It matches the Rfam family "Eukaryotic small subunit ribosomal RNA", at positions 1470 to 1796 of the family's 1831-position model. The record is from RNAcentral.
CCCUUAGAUGUUCUGGGCCGCACGCGCGCUACACUGACGAAUGCAACGAGCUUAGAACCUUGGCCGAAAGGUCUGGGUAAUCUCCAAAUUUCGUCGUGAUGGGGAUAGAUUAUUGCAAUUAUUAAUCUUCAACGAGGAAUGCCUAGUAAGCGCAAGUCAUCAGCUUGCGUUGAUUACGUCCCUGCCCUUUGUACACACCGCCCGUCGCUCCUACCGAUUGAAUGGUCCGGUGAAGCGUUCGGACCGUGGCCUUUGGACGGUUCGCCGUCUGUUGGCUGCGGGAAGUUCGUUAAACCUUAUCAUUUAGAGGAAGGAGAAGUCGUAACA